GACGAACGCUAGCGGGAGGCUUAAUACAUGCAAGUCGAACGGUAAGGUCUCUUCGGAGAUACACGAGUGGCGCACGGGUGAGUAACGCGUAUGUAAUUUACCUCUUAGUGGGGGAUAGCCCAGAGAAAUUUGGAUUAAUACCCCAUAUUAUUACGAAUAAGCAUUUAUUUGUAAUGAAAGCUCCGGCGCUAAGAGAUAGGCAUGCGUUCCAUUAGCUAGUUGGUGAGGUCAAGGCUCACCAAGGCUACGAUGGAUAGCUGGUCUGAGAGGAUGAUCAGCCACACGGGCACUGAGACACGGGCCCGACUCCUACGGGAGGCAGCAGUAGGGAAUAUUGGUCAAUGGAGGCAACUCUGAACCAGCCAUCCCGCGUGAAGGAAGACGGUCCUCUGGAUUGUAAACUUCUUUUAUUAAGGACUAACCAUGAGCUAUACGCUCAUCUGCAGGUACUUAAUGAAUAAGCACCGGCUAACUACG
This 477-nucleotide ribosomal RNA is filed under the name uncultured Bacteroidota bacterium. Its description in RNAcentral is "bacterial SSU rRNA". It matches the Rfam family "Bacterial small subunit ribosomal RNA", at positions 28 to 505 of the family's 1533-position model. Lineage: Bacteria; Pseudomonadati; Bacteroidota. The record is from RNAcentral.